RNAcentral lists this ribosomal RNA (502 nucleotides) under uncultured bacterium. Its description in RNAcentral is "partial 16S ribosomal RNA". It matches the Rfam family "Bacterial small subunit ribosomal RNA", at positions 30 to 523 of the family's 1533-position model. The record is from RNAcentral.
AUUGAACGCUGGCGGCAUGCCUUACACAUGCAAGUCGAACGGCAGCAUGGGUGCUUGCACCUGAUGGCGAGUGGCGAACGGGUGAGUAAUGCAUCGGAACGUGCCCUGAAGUGGGGGAUAACGUAGCGAAAGUUACGCUCAUACCGCAUAUUCUGUGAGCAGGAAAGGAGGGGUUCGCAAGACCUUGCGCUUUAGGAGCGGCCGAUGUCGGAUUAGCUAGUUGGUGAGGUAAAGGCUCACCAAGGGGACGAUCCGUAGCGGGUCUGAGAGGAUGAACCGCCACGCUGGGACUGAGACACGGCCCAGACUCCUACGGGAGGCAGCAGUGGGGAAUUUUGGGCAAUGGGCGCAAGCCUGAUCCAGCCAUGCCGCGUGAGUGAAGAAGGCCUUCGGGUUGUAAAGCUCUUUCGGUGGGGAAGAAAUGGUUUCGGUUAAUACCCGGAGCUGAUGGCGGUACCCGCAUAAGAAGCACCGGCUAACUACGUGCCAGCCGCCGCAGUAA